This 492-nucleotide ribosomal RNA is filed under the name uncultured bacterium. RNAcentral's name for it is "partial 16S ribosomal RNA". It matches the Rfam family "Bacterial small subunit ribosomal RNA", at positions 29 to 507 of the family's 1533-position model. The record is from RNAcentral.
AGUGAACGCUGGCGGUAGGCCUAACACAUGCAAGUCGAACGGCAGCACAGUAAGAGCUUGCUCUUACGGGUGACGAGUGGCGGACGGGUGAGGAAUACAUCGGAAUCUACUUUUUCGUGGGGGAUAACGUAGGGAAACUUACGCUAAUACCGCAUACGACCUACGGGUGAAAGCAGGGGAUCUUCGGACCUUGCGCGAUUGAAUGAGCCGAUGUCGGAUUAGCUAGUUGGCGGGGUAAUGGCCCACCAAGGCGACGAUCCGUAGCUGGUCUGAGAGGAUGACCAGCCACACUGGAACUGAGACACGGUCCAGACUCCUACGGGAGGCAGCAGUGGGGAAUAUUGGACAAUGGGCGCAAGCCUGAUCCAGCCAUACCGCGUGGGUGAAGAAGGCCUUCGGGUUGUAAAGCCCUUUUGUUGGGAAAGAAAAGCAGCAGGUUAAUACCCCGCUGUUCUGACGGUACCCAAAGAAUAAGCACCGGCUAACUUCGUG